Molecule: long non-coding RNA, 297 nt
Filed under: Brassica rapa (field mustard)
Lineage: Eukaryota; Viridiplantae; Streptophyta; Magnoliopsida; Brassicales; Brassicaceae
Description: long non-coding RNA (BRAP_LNC005773)
Source: RNAcentral
UUACUUAGUGUAAAUACUUAAUAAAUAUUUAUGAAUGUUCGUAGAGGUUUAUUCCGAACCUUAGUACUUGUUCUGAAGUACUGAUAUAUUAUAUUAUUAAAUAUAUGAGUAUAAAUCAUGUGAAGCCUUAUUGUAUACUCACUCUCCCGAAAGUUCCCGCAUUACCGUGAAUUGUUCAUGCGAUACGGAACAAGGUCACGAAGACACGAUGAUGGGGUCGCACCCUAGAGGCCGUAUAACUGCAUGCAGCAUUAGAUGUUCGAUCUUGGAAUAUCUAAUGGAGAUGAUGGUUAUAUU